CGCACAGUCUCCAGCCUUCUCUCAACCUCAAAGGAGUGAGUAUAUGCGACGCAAUCCACAGACUGGAAUGAAGCAACAGUGACAACAUUAGCGGCCAAUGAUGGAUGAAAUGACAAAUGAACCAGGAGUAGGGGCAGACAUCUACGCCCUAAGGGAGAGAGUGAGGUGGGGCUGGAAACUAUUUUCUGGCCUUCUCCCGCGUACUGCUCCCAGAGAAGGGACAGGAUCCAGCACGCCCGGGAUCAGCGGAGCCUCGGCCUCCGAGGUGCAGGAGUGGGACGAGAGCGAAACCCUCAGAAGACUUUUCAAAACCUUCUUCAGAAAGCUGUAAACUAACACCUGUCUAUGAAGUUAAGCGGAGUUAAUCAGUCUAAGAGGUGAUGAAAUCAGUGCCCAAUGUGAAGUCAGGAUCAGAGGGCAAAGAAGAGAACCCAGACAGCCAGACCUUUGCAGUAUGAAUUCAAGAUUUAUUCAAUAGAUCAUGAAUUGCUGGGUCCUCAGUCACUCCCAAUUUAAAACCCCCUGGAAGACUUGAGUGGCAGUUCCCUUUUAAGAACUAGUAGGCAUACUACAUGUCACAGGACCCCGUCUGUCCUAGGCAUUCCUCCUGGAGAUCUGGAAUUGAGACACUGAAAGGCAGAAACAGACGAUGAGUGGCUACACUGAAGGUCACGCAGAGCGAGAUCCAGAGUUGGCACUGUGACAAGACAAAGGCACCUGCAGACUGAACUAUGGGGGAACACAGAUGCCCUGAAUAAGCCCUGAAAGCCAGCCUGCAGAGAGGGAGCAGGGGCAGAGGCAGAUGCCAGAGGGGAGCAGAGCUGAGACUGGGGGGCCUGCUGAGGAAUGGAAGGGGUAACCUCAUUAUCAAACCUCCCAUUUAUUUCUCUCCCUGUGUGAUCUGACUAUAUUUUAUUUCUGACCUUUAGAACAUAUAUGAAAUCGUCUGUUUUAUUUUUUAAAUAAAAACCACUUUUACCUGGA
This is a long non-coding RNA of Neofelis nebulosa (Clouded leopard), 984 nucleotides long. RefSeq lists it as uncharacterized. The record is from RefSeq and is a predicted model, not a curated record. Lineage: Eukaryota; Metazoa; Chordata; Mammalia; Carnivora; Felidae. The transcript is spliced from 3 exons.